Molecule: long non-coding RNA, 1791 nt
Organism: Helianthus annuus (common sunflower)
Lineage: Eukaryota; Viridiplantae; Streptophyta; Magnoliopsida; Asterales; Asteraceae
Exons: 3
Source: RefSeq, a predicted model, not a curated record
UUAAGAUUUCCCACUGUUCUCAAAUUUCAAAUUUUUCAUCCUUUGCCUCCAUCAUCGCCCACUCCAAAUCCCUAAUCGAUAUUCUCUCUCCGCUCGGUUCCUAUCCACAUCCCCUAACCGGAUAGUCGAGUCCUCCUAUCACUUCCAUCACCGAUGAAUCGCGACUUAGUAACCGACUACCCACCACUACACCACCAUACAACCCAUCAUUAUUGUUGGAAUCAUUGUCGCUCAAAUGCUCACUAGAGCCCUGGUAAAGUUUGUUUUUUCUCUUAAAUAACCCUGCUUAGCUUCUACUAUCAAUCAUGUUCCAAUCGAUCUCUUUGUAAGUGUGUAUACGUUACGAAUAGUUCCAUUUGUUUCUGUUGGUCAUAUUUGGUUUGCACACCCUAUGUUUUCUAUUUAUUUUGUAUGUUUGAGGGUUAAUGUUUUCUGUGAUAUUGUUUAUAAGUGUAAGGUUUGAAGUUGCACACCAACUGCUCGAUUAAAUGCUUCAUCCAAGCUCACAUUUAUGCCAUAUGCCUUUUUAUGAGAUAAGUGAAUCUCUGAUAUCUUGUUUUUCACUUGUACUUUUGAUUUGCAGGUUGUGAAGACUUGAUAAAACGGAGAUACCUUUUAAAACUGAAUUAGAAUUAUGGUUUACAGUCAAUCAUUUAUAUUUUUUUUUGCUUGUUAAUUUUUUAGCUAGUUUUGGUUGUUUUUAACGUCCCUGUUAUUAAUAAUCAUUUUGACCAAUUUGAACAAUUUUCUUUUGAGGGGCUAAAGUUUAUGAUCUAGCCGGUAAUAAUUACAUGUUGCUGCUUAUAAAUUAUAACUAAUUCAGCUUAAUCACUUUUAUAAUACAUCAAGGGAAGCUGCUUAAAUAAUUUUCUUAUGUAACUUUGUGAGAGUUAAGAAGUGCCAAAUAUUUUGAGAUCAUUGUGGAUCAUAGAAAGUGUUAUUAACAAUCUUGUUUGUUGAAUAUUUAACAAAUUGUUAAUGUUUACAUUUGCAGUGCUUUUGCGGUUGAAUAUAUACAACUAUUUACUUUGAGUAAUUUACUCGAGCCCAGCUCAAAACAAGCCGAGCUUGAGCCUCAAAACAAGCUUGUUUAGUAAUUGAGCCCUGAACCUGAGCUUCGCUUAUCGAGCUUGAGCCGAUUAAAGCUUGAGCUUAAAAAAUCACCUACGUGCCAAGCUCGAGCUUUAGAAACAAAGCUCGAAUUGAGCCUGGGCUUUCAUAAGUUAAGUUAAGCGAGCCUAUUGAGCUCGGGCUUGACUCGGCUCGUUCACAACACUAAGUAAACUUCAUGAAUAGAUUUUUUAACUGGUUGGUACUGUACUCUUGCUUCAUCAAAAUAGCUACCAUGGAGAUUCUAACUGAGGUUGACAAAAAAAAGGAAAGUUUGGAACCCGAAACCACAAAGAGAACAUCAAAUCAAAUCUAUAUGGUUGGGCAUCAAAGGUGUUAGAAACUCAUGUAGAGGGCUACACAAACGCAAAGAUCAAGGUUACAAUCUGGUUUUAAACUUAAAAGAAGCAAUGUUUGGUAUUGAAAAAGAUAUCAAAGUAACUUGUCUUGAGAGUCGUGGACGUUGCAACGAGUCUUGUGCCAAACCUAGGACUAGUGCACCCAAACGCACAACAUGUGGUGAUCAAAGUCAAAUUGUCUCCUUUGCUCUAUUUAUGGAAUUUUAGCUCCCUGUGUUUGUAGAAUUUAUACAUUGUUGUAAAUUUUUUUGGAAUAUAAAAAAUGUAAAAUAUGUUUAGCAAUGUUUUUGUAAUAGAUUGGGUUCUGUUCAUUUUGUAGUAA